GACGAACGCUGGCGGCGUGCUUAACACAUGCAAGUCGAACGAUGAAGCAGAGAAACGCGCCCUUCGGUUCAAGUUUAACUUCGGAUUAGUGCCAGACGGGUGAGUAACGCGUGAGCAAACUACCUCUUACAAAGGGAUAGCCUCGGGAAAACGUGCUUAAUACCAUAUGACACAUUCAUAAGGCAUCUUAAGAAUGUUAAAGCUACGGCGGUAAGGGAUGGGCUCGCGUCCCAUUAGCUAGUUGGUGAGGUAACGGCCCACCAAGGCGACGGUGGGUAACCGGGCGGGGAGGGGGAACCGUCACAUUGGAGCUGAGACACGGUCCAAACUCCUACGCGAGGCAGGAGAGUGGAAUAUAGCACGAGGGAGGGAACUCUGAUGCAGCGACGCCGCGGAAGCGAUGAAGGAAGUCGUUACGUAAAGCUCUGUUCUAUGGGAAGAAAGGGACGGUACCAUAUGAGAAAGCCCCGGCUAAAUACGUG
RNAcentral lists this ribosomal RNA (482 nucleotides) under uncultured bacterium. RNAcentral's name for it is "partial 16S ribosomal RNA". It matches the Rfam family "Bacterial small subunit ribosomal RNA", at positions 28 to 507 of the family's 1533-position model. The record is from RNAcentral.